AUCCGCGGUCGCUGCAGAGUUUGAUCCUGGGUCAGAUUGAACGCUGGCGGCAUGCUUUACAAAUGCAAGUCGAACGGUAACAGGCCUUCGGGUGCUGACGAGUGGCGAACGGGUGAGUAAUGCAUCGGAACGUACCCGGUCGUGGGGGAUAACGCAGAGAAAGCUGUGCUAAUACCGCAUAAGAUCUGAGGAUGAAAGCGGGGGACCUUUGGGCCUCGCGGGAUCGGAGGGGGCGAUGUCGGAUUAGGUAGUUGGUGGGGUAAAGGCUAACAAGGCGACGAUUCGUAGGUGGUAUGAGAGGACGACCAGCCAAAAUGGGAAUGAGA
Molecule: ribosomal RNA, 326 nt
Filed under: uncultured bacterium
Lineage: Bacteria
Description: bacterial SSU rRNA
Rfam family: Bacterial small subunit ribosomal RNA
Source: RNAcentral